RNAcentral lists this ribosomal RNA (468 nucleotides) under uncultured bacterium. RNAcentral describes it as "partial 16S ribosomal RNA". It matches the Rfam family "Bacterial small subunit ribosomal RNA", at positions 28 to 507 of the family's 1533-position model. The record is from RNAcentral.
GACGAACGCUGGCGGCGUGCUUAACACAUGCCAGUCGAACGGAAAGGCCCUGCUUUUGUGGGGUGCUCGAGUGGCGAACGGGUGAGUAACACGUGAGUAACCUGCCCUUGACUUUGGGAUAACUUCAGGAAACUGGGGCUAAUACCGGAUAGGAGCUCCUGCUGCUUGGUGGGGGUUGGAAAGUUUCGGCGGUUGGGGAUGGACUCGCGGCUUAUCAGCUUGUUGGUGGGGUAGUGGCUUACCAAGGCUUUGACGGGUAGCCGGCCUGAGGGGGUGACCGGCCACAUUGGGACUGAGAUACGGCCCAGACUACUACGGGAGGCAGCAGUGGGGAAUAUUGCACAAUGGGCGGAAGCCUGAUGCAGCAACGCCGCGUGCGGGAUGACGGCCUUCGGGUUGUAAACCGCUUUCGCCUGUGACGAAGCGUGAGUGACGGUAAUGGGUAAAGAAGCACCGGCUAACUACGUG